This 477-nucleotide ribosomal RNA is filed under the name uncultured bacterium. RNAcentral's name for it is "bacterial SSU rRNA". It matches the Rfam family "Bacterial small subunit ribosomal RNA", at positions 36 to 524 of the family's 1533-position model. The record is from RNAcentral.
GCAACCUGGCGGCGUGCUUACCAUGCAAGUCGAACGGUAAGGCCCCUUUGGGGGUACACGAGUGGCGAACGGGUGAGUAACACGUGAGCAACCUGCCCUUGACUCUGGAAUAACAGUUGGAAACAGCUGCUAAUACUGGAUAUUCAUUGUCCUCCUCCUGGGGGGUGGUGGAAAGCUCCGGCGGUCAGGGAUGGGCUCGCGGCCUAUCAGCUUGUUGGUGAGGUAAUGGCUCACCAAGGCUUCGACGGGUAGCCGGCCUGAGAGGGCGACCGGCCACACUGGGACUGAGAUACGGCCCAGACUCCUACGGGAGGCAGCAGUGGGGAAUAUUGCACAAUGGGCGCAAGCCUGAUGCAGCAACGCCGCGUGCGGGAUGACGGCCUUCGGGUUGUAAACCGCUUUCAGUAGGGACGAAGCUAACGUGACGGUACCUACAGAAGAAGGACCGGCUAACUACGUGCCAGCAGCCGCGGUGAU